This 961-nucleotide ribosomal RNA is filed under the name uncultured bacterium. Its description in RNAcentral is "bacterial SSU rRNA". It matches the Rfam family "Bacterial small subunit ribosomal RNA", at positions 573 to 1532 of the family's 1533-position model. The record is from RNAcentral.
AGGCGGUUUCUUAAGUCUGAUGUGAAAGCCCCCGGCUCAACCGGGGAGGGUCAUUGGAAACUGGGGAACUUGAGUGCAGAAGAGAAGAGCGGAAUUCCACGUGUAGCGGUGAAAUGCGUAGAGAUGUGGAGGAACACCAGUGGCGAAGGCGGCUCUUUGGUCUGUAACUGACGCUGAGGCGCGAAAGCGUGGGGAGCAAACAGAAUUAGAUACCUUGGUAGUCCACGCCGUAAACGAUGAGUGCUAAGUGUUAGAGGGUUUCCGCCCUUUAGUGCUGCAGCAAACGCAUUAAGCACUCCGCCUGGGGAGUACGGCCGCAAGGCUGAAACUCAAAGGAAUUGACGGGGGCCCGCACAAGCGGUGGAGCAUGUGGUUUAAUUCGAAGCAACGCGAAGAACCUUACCAGGUCUUGACAUCCUCUGACAAUCCUAGAGAUAGGACUUUCCCCUUCGGGGGACAGAGUGACAGGUGGUGCAUGGUUGUCGUCAGCUCGUGUCGUGAGAUGUUGGGUUAAGUCCCGCAACGAGCGCAACCCUUGUCCUUAGUUGCCAGCAUUUAGUUGGGCACUCUAAGGAGACUGCCGGUGACAAACCGGAGGAAGGUGGGGAUGACAUCAAAUCAUCAUGCCCCUUAUGACCUGGGCUACACACGUGCUACAAUGGAUGGUACAAAGGGCUGCAAGACCGCGAGGUUUAGCCAAUCCCAUAAAACCAUUCUCAGUUCGGAUUGUAGGCUGCAACUCGCCUACAUGAAGCCGGAAUCGCUAGUAAUCGCGGAUCAGCAUGCCGCGGUGAAUACGUUCCCGGGCCUUGUACACACCGCCCGUCACACCACGAGAGUUUGUAACACCCGAAGUCGGUGGGGUAACCUUUUGGAGCCAGCCGCCUAAGGUGGGACAGAUGAUUGGGGUGAAGUCGUAACAAGGUAGCCGUAUCGGAAGGUGCGGCUGGAUCACCUCCUU